Molecule: ribosomal RNA, 460 nt
Filed under: uncultured bacterium
Lineage: Bacteria
Description: partial 16S ribosomal RNA
Rfam family: Bacterial small subunit ribosomal RNA
Source: RNAcentral
CCUACGGGUGGCAGCAGUGAGGAAUAUUGGUCAAUGGGCGCGAGCCUGAACCAGCCAAGUCGCGUGAAGGAUGACUGCCCUACGGGUUGUAAACUUCUUUUAUCAAGGAAUAAAGGGCGGCACGUGCGCCCUUUUGUAUGUACUUUAUGAAUAAGGACCGGCUAAUUCCGUGCCAGCACCCGCGGUAAUACGGAAGGUCCGGGCGUUUUCCGGAUUUAUUGGGUUUAAAGGGAGCGUAGGCCGGUCUUUAAGCGUACCGUGAAAUUUUGUGGCUCAACCAUGAGAGUGCGGCGCGAACUGGAGACCUUGAGUGCGCGGAAGGCAGGCGGAAUUCGUGGUGUAGCGGUGAAAUGCUUAGAUAUCACGAAGAACCCCGAUUGCGAAGGCAGCCUGCCGCAGCGUUACUGACGCUGAAGCUCGAAAGCGCGGGUAUCGAACAGGAUUAGAUACCCGAGUAGUC